UCAGACGAUGCGUCAUGCAUAUCAAUAAGCGGAGGAAAAGAAACUAACAAGGAUUCCCCUAGUAACGGCGAGUGAAGCGGGAAGAGCUCAAAUUUGAAAUCUUAAAGGGUUUCCCUUUACGAAUUGUAGUUUAAAGAAGUGUUUUCUGUUGAGGUUAUGGUAAAAGUUCUUUGGAAUAGGACAUCAUAGAGGGUGAGAAUCCCGUAUUUGACCUUUACUUUCAACUUUGUGAUACACUUUCAAAGAGUCGGAUUGUUUGGGAAUGCAGUCCAAAAUGGGUGGUAAAUUUCAUCUAAAGCUAAAUAUUGGCGAGAGACCGAUAGCGAACAAGUACCGUGAGGGAAAGAUGAAAAGAACUUUGAAAAGAGAGUUAAACAGUACAGUGAAAUUGUCAAAAGGGAAGCGUUUGACACCAGUGUUGUUUUUCUGAAAAUCAAUUAAAGAACUGUUUAUGCUAAGUUGUUUAGACUUUAUCAGCUAACUGUUUAGUUUUGAGCUUUUCUUUAAUGCACUUUUCAGUUAACAAGUCAACAUCAAUUUCUUUUGCUGUAAAAAAGCUUGAGGAAGGUGGCUUGAGAUUCGUCUUAAGUGUUUAUAGCCUCUUGCCUAUGCAGUCGGAGAGAUUGAGGUCUGCAGCGUAGAUCCUUCGGGGCUAAAUGCAUUUGUGCUAAGUUAUAGCAUUUUAUAGACAACUUGUUGACUAUGAUUUGUCUUGUAGCUUACUCGCUUAUGUUAUUUUACCUACGCUUAGGAUGUUGAAUCUGUGCGAGACUAC
RNAcentral lists this ribosomal RNA (775 nucleotides) under uncultured Neocallimastigales. RNAcentral describes it as "partial large subunit ribosomal RNA". It matches the Rfam family "Eukaryotic large subunit ribosomal RNA", at positions 18 to 644 of the family's 3401-position model. Lineage: Eukaryota; Fungi; Neocallimastigomycota; Neocallimastigomycetes; Neocallimastigales. The record is from RNAcentral.